UAUCUUGUACUCCAGCUUUUUAAACAAGAGUUCAAUGAGAGUUUUAUCACUUUAAAAACUCUCUGCCCGACUAUUUUAGUUUGUUGAUAGGCACCAGUUCAUAGUGCUGCUUGGUAGUGAGAAAUGGACCUUAAAUGCUGAGGAGUUGAGAAGACAGGAAAGAAAUGAAGUGAACAGGCUUUGUUAGAACUUGCAAUAAUUACAGAAUCCAUGUGCAAGAGGCAGGGUCUGAUUGAUUUGAACAUAAAACUGGCAGAAUAUUUGGACCAGAUAAGCUUUUAACCUUUAAGGUUAUUUCUUGGAAAAUAUCAUAUCAUUAGUACAGUUGUCACACUCGAAUUUGGUUUAUAACACUUUAAUGAUACAUAUAAAGCUAAGUAGUUGUAUGUAGAAUGAGGAUAGCCUCAGGCAUACAGAAAAGGACCAACCUAUCAAUAUGCUCCUCUUAAGGAGACUUCAACUUCCCAAAUGUUAAAUAGCCUGUAGGCCACGUCCUCUCUUGAACAAACCAGGGCAGAACUUGAACUUUCUAAUAUGUUAUUCCUGGAACAAGUUACAUUUGCCAACCAACCAAGAGCAGCAACCUCUUGCAUCUUAGUUUCACAAAUAAUAUAGACCUCAUCUAUAAUGUGAAGAUGGCACGAACAGCUUUCUCAAACUACAACAUUGUAAAACUAAUACUGAUCCUAGGUGAGCUGCUGGCAUCUACUCUAUAAGAUAAGAAGUACUCAAAGCCAUAUCCGACUUGAAUUUCCAUAAAGCAAACAGGAAAUCAAUUUGCAAAGAGAUGUACAGCAAAACAGGCCCAACGGUUUAUGUAAGACAAGGACUUAAAACUCAGUUUAUGUCAACGAGCCAGCUAUAUGCACUAAACAUGAAAACCAAAGAUUAAAACUCGAGAAAUAGGAAAAUCCUUAUAAGAUGCAGAACAAAGGUCUCAAAGUGAUUGCGUAGGCAACUGAAGGAUAGUGAAAAGUUAAGAUGGACAUUCCUGGAAAUUGAAAGCAAACUCAAACUCUCUCAUGAAAAGAAAAGAGACCAGAGAAGAGAGUUGUUAAAAGUAUUAGAACAAACCCUGAAGCUUUCUAUAGAUUUGCAAAGGAAACAGCCGUAGUACAGUACAAAAUAGGACCAUUGUUCCAAGAGAAUGGCUCACUGAUUACGGACCCCAAAAGGAUAAGUGAUGUACUCAGUGAACAAUCUGAAAGUGUCUUCACCUCCCUCUCCCCUGGGACACAUGUAAAUAAAUAAACCUGGUUGAAUUCUUUGACAUUUCAGAGGAAGACAUUUCAGCAAAACCAUGGAACAAAUCAUCAGAAGGAAACUGAUGAUGUUUCAAGAAGGAAAUGACUUGCUGAGUGUUACUCGGCCUGGUUUCAGUCAGGAAGAAGCUGCCUCACCCAGCCCUCAUGGCGCAGAUGACUGGGUUUUGAAGCAGCUGCUCAAUCAUUUAAAUGUUGACUUUGCAAAAAAACCUUUGACAACAUAGAUCGUGGCACAUGUCACAAGCUGAGAGCGUGGCAUUGAUGGUGACCUAGGAGAGUGGCUACAUGAUAGUUGGGCAGUUGCAAUUGAUAGUGCCCUCUCUAGAGAAACAAAUUCUGAAUGGGGGUCACUCAGGGAACUGUCUUAGGACCAUUACUGUUUAUAGUUGCUCUUUUAGACAUGCCUAUGGUCAUUCAGACAGGUAGUACCACUAACUACACUGAUGACACAAAAUUAUUACAGACAAUAAAGAACCCUUACAGUGUGACAAGCUUUUGCAGCUGCACCUGAAUGCAAUAUAUGUGGACAGAACAAAACAACAUGCAACUUAAUGCUGGAAAUUUUCAAGCAGCACCACAACCUACAUGUAUAGGACCUGGAGGCACUGCAUUCCUAGAGUCACAUACAGCAUAUGUAAUGAUGCAUCAUUUCAUGUGCACAUUACCAAGAUGGAUUCUAAGGACCAAGAAGUCAUGUUGACCCCUGUGGUCACUGCACAAUGUGAAAAUAAUUGUGCAGCUUCAAACAAUCCAAUGUUACUACACUAAAAGGUACUGUCCACUCCAUCUAAUAUCAGCUUGGGGUUCACAAAUUUUCAGUACUCUGCCACAAAAAUUAAGAAACUUACCCAAUGUGAAUGUCUUCAAAAAGGACUUGAACAUUCUCCUAUCCACAAUAUCAGAUGAACCAACAUCCCAGCAUGAAAUAUAAUGUGUGUGUGUGUGUGUGUAGCUUUGACUGGUUUCAGUCAUUGAUUUGCAAUCAUGCUGGGGCACCACUUCAAAGGGUCAACCCCAGUAAUUACUUUUAAAAGCCUGGUAUUUAUUAUAUCAGUCUCUUGUGUCAUCAUGUAACAGGGAUAUAAACAAAUUAACACCAGUUGUCAAGUGGUGGUAGAGGACAAACACACACACACAAAAUGGGCUUCUUCCAGGUUCUAUCUGCCAAAUCCACUCACAAGGCUUUGGUCAGCCCAUGGCUAUAGUAGAAGACAUGUGCCAUGCAGUGGGACUAAACACAGAGUCACGUGAUUGAGAAGCAAAUGUAUAUACAUGAGGGAAAAUUUCUGGAUUUUAAACAUUUCCCACUAUAACAUUAAAUUGGUUUUUCAGAGUACUUAAUGAAAUCUUGCCCCAAUCUAGCAUUGAAGGGAUGUUUACAGGAGACUUGCAGCAGUUUUCUUGAAUCCUCAGCAGAGAUCAUUAUUUUGUUUACAAUGGAAGUGAAAAUACACACCUAAGACUAAAGCUCUGACAACUCCUGCAUGUCUGGAAUACUACUGUAUUAUUAAGCUACACUAACCAACACACACACACACACACACCAGUUGCUGGAUCACAGAUCUAUAGUGUCCUCUCUCUCUGCCUGUUCCUAUAACUACUGCCACCUCUAUAGAUUUCCUUCAAACACCUGACACAUUUUCCCUGCUAACCAAUUAUUUUUAGUUUUAAGUGGUUCACUUUUAGACAUAGGAAUUGCUAAAUUAGAUGUAAAGUGCAAAUGCUUUGUAAUUAGAUUGCUAUUGCAAUAAUUAUGAUUAC
This is a long non-coding RNA of Octopus bimaculoides (California two-spot octopus), 3026 nucleotides long. RefSeq lists it as uncharacterized. NCBI's taxonomy places the organism in Eukaryota, Metazoa, Mollusca, Cephalopoda, Octopoda, Octopodidae. The record is from RefSeq and is a predicted model, not a curated record.